CAUUCGAUCCGAGUAUUUAUCGAGCCUUAAUCAAAUCGAUCUGGAGUAGCACGAGAUUUGGUUUUGUUCGCUUUACUAAUAGAACAGAUGUUUUCAGAGCAAUGGAGAGGUUGAAUGGAUUCAGGUUUUAUAACUUUCGGUUAUCGGUGACAUUAGCAAAGUACAAUGUUAUAGAAGUGGAGAAAGUCCGUCCAGUUUGAUAGGCAGAAGCUGAAGAGAACCGAGUCGGAUGAAGGCUAUACGUUAGCAGAUAUCAUAAAGGAAAUAUUCCAGGGCCUACUGGAAACUUGAAGGUUAAUAAGAGUAAGUCUGGUGUUAAUAGUCAUAGAGAUCUAAGUGCGCUUCAAGAGGCGAAAAGAAGUAGGAUUAUCGGGUAUGUUGAGGAGGAGGAGCUAUUGAAGAUGAAGAGCUGUCAGAUUGGCGAGAAGUCUGUAGUGUGUAAUAAUCGGAGUAUAAGGGAUAGGUUGCAUAAAUGGGGUCUUGGGGAGGUUAAAAUUUAUCGUAUGGGAAGAAAAACAUUCUUGAUAGUCAUUGACGAUGAAGAUCUUUUCCUGAUGCUAAAAAAGCUUGACUGGUCGUAUCUUAAAGAAAUUUUGCAGAGGUGAGGAUGUGGUCCGAAGUGCUGUAUCAAGCUCCAAGGGCUACCUAGAUCGACAUUUUUGGUUUCCCUCUUCACUGCUGGAACCAAACUACGUGUAAAAGAAUAGCUGAACUUUGGGGUUUCUUCGAAGCCCUAGGGGAAAAUGGGUUUCACACGAUAGAUUGUGAAAAGGUUUCGGUGCUAAUUACUACUGCUUUUGAGAGAAGAAUUGAAGAAUUGGUUGAUAUGAAGAUUGAUCACAUCAUUCAUUCGGUUCGAGUUUUGGAAAAAGGAUUCUCAGAUGGUACAAAUGAUAUCUGAAAGGGAGUCGAAUUAGUGUCAAAGUCUGCAAAGAGUGAUAUCAACGGUGAGGAGAGUCCACUGAAUUCUUCGUCAGAGGAGGCUGAGGAUGAUCAGAGUCCGUCCGGUAUGGAUAGAGAAUUAGUUGAGGGAGACAAAGAUGCUUCGAUUUUCAAAAAAGGGUCUAGAAAAUUUUGUCAGCCCAGCUGGUGGCUCUUUGGACAAUUAGAGUUUAAGCACAAUGAGUGUUGAAUUGGAGCAAGUGAAAGGUGAUGUGGGUGGUUCCAGAAAUAUGGAACGUCUAAUUGAAAACAAUUUUUUGACUGUAAGCUGAUGGAGAAUAGGGUGGACCUAAGAAUGAGGUAAAUUCUGAAGAAAAUCUGCCUUUGGGUUUAGAAGGAGAGAGCCCAAUAUGGUCUCGGGCUCAAGAGGAUAUUGAUUAUAUGGGUUUAGGAGAUGCUAAUUUUCCCCCUUCCUUAAGCCUCUGCCAGGGAGUCUAGAGGCAAGGGAGAACGAGAACGUUAUCGGGGGUGUCUCCUUUGAAUCAUUUCUUUCAGAAUUAAUUACGGUGGAAAAAAAAAAAAAAGAAAUCCAGGAAGUAUGAGUCCUUACUAGAGAUUCAGGGUAAAGCUCUGUCGGAUACGAAUCGAAGGAAAAGGGACCGAGUGAUCAAAAAACAUAAUCUGGAGAUAAAGUAUUUGGAGUCAUCGGUGUAAUCAGGCAGGUCGCUUUCCGAUUCAGAUCUUAAGGUAAGGUGGUUGGCAGGACAAAAGAGGCUGAGAGGACUCUGUCUUUGGGGAAAAAAAUAGCGAUCCAAAUUAUUGGUGAUGAGUCAGAGGCAGUGAAGGAGCUGGCCUUAUUAGAGUUUGAUUGUGCUUGAUCUCAAAUUCUCGUGUUUUCGAUGGGAGGUAUGUGUUUCGUAUCUUGAAGACUCUCAAAGAGGUUAUGUUGUUGCUGUUGGUGUCGUUGAAAGAAGCUUUGGUUGUUAUUGAUUUUGGUUUUCUGGGUUGUCGUGGCUUUUGUUUGCUGGGCGAUUCAAGCAUUCGGGAGGGAUGCUGUUUUAAAUCAGGUGGAAGCUAGUUUUUCGGUUCCAUUUUUCGAUUCUGUUUGGUGGCCUCCUUGUUCUGGGGUUUUAAGGGAGUUCAGGUGAUAUGUGUCGGGGGCCUUGCGAAAAUGAGAAGAAGAGGUGGUAUUCAUGGUUGUUUUGAUCGUUUGUUUGGCAAAUUUUCUAGGGAAGAAGCUAAUCGUAUAAUUUGCAUGGGAAGAUUCCAUGGAGGUUUAUUUGCAAAGACAGAUGUAAUGUUAUGAAUCUCCAUUUCUGUUUGUUUGCUUCAGGGGAGUGAAGUGUUGCAAUCUCUUGAAGAAGGCUGGUUAAUGUAUGCUCUUUGAUGGUGGGAUCUAA
Molecule: long non-coding RNA, 2282 nt
Organism: Hibiscus syriacus
Lineage: Eukaryota; Viridiplantae; Streptophyta; Magnoliopsida; Malvales; Malvaceae
Exons: 2
Source: RefSeq, a predicted model, not a curated record